This 492-nucleotide ribosomal RNA is filed under the name uncultured bacterium. RNAcentral's name for it is "partial 16S ribosomal RNA". It matches the Rfam family "Bacterial small subunit ribosomal RNA", at positions 29 to 507 of the family's 1533-position model. The record is from RNAcentral.
AGUGAACGCUGGCGGUAGGCCUAACACAUGCAAGUCGAACGGCAGCACAGUAAGAGCUUGCUCUUACGGGUGGCGAGUGGCGGACGGGUGAGGAAUACAUCGGAAUCUACUUUUUCGUGGGGGAUAACGUAGGGAAACCUACGCUAAUACCGCAUACGACCUACGGGUGAAAGCAGGGGAUAUUCGGACCUUGCGCGAUUGAAUGAGCCGAUGUCGGAUUAGCUAGUUGGCGGGGUAAAGGCCCACCAAGGCGACGAUCCGUAGCUGGUCUGAGAGGAUGAUCAGCGACACUGGAACUGAGACACGGUCCAGACUCCUACGAGAGGCAGCAGUGGGGAAUAUUGGACAAUGGGCGCAAGCCUGAUCCAGCCAUACCGCGUGGGUGAAGAAGGCCUUCGGGUUGUAAAGCCCUUUUGUUGGGAAAGAAAAGCAGCAGGUUAAUACCCCGCUGUUCUGACGGUACCCAAAGAAGAAGCACCGGCUAACUUCGUG